CAGAGAUACUGACUGUUAUCAGGUUAGCUAGGAGACACUAUGAGGGAGACAGAGAUACUGACUGUAAUCAGGUUAGCUAGGAGACACUAUGAGGGAGACAGAGACACUGACUGUUAUCAGGUUAGCUAGGAGACACUAUGAGGGAGACAGAGAUACUGACUGUUAUCAGGUUAGCUAGGAGACACUAUGAGGGAGACAGAGACACUGACUGUUAUCAGGUUAGCUAGGAGACACUAUGAGGGAGACAGAGACACUGACUGUUAUCAGGUUAGCUAGGAGACACUAUGAGGGAGACAGAGACAGACAGAGAGACCGAGACCAACAGAGAGACAGAGACAAACAAAUUAAAUCUUCUUUCCCUACUAGCACUGAUGUUGCUGAUAGUCGGUUUAUUUUGUCUUCAAUAAAGUAGCGAUGACUGAGAUGUGUUUGUCCCACCGAGCGAUCUGAAGAUACAGUCUCUGGAUAAGAGUCUGCUAAAUGACUCCCUACUGUAA
Molecule: long non-coding RNA, 497 nt
Organism: Oncorhynchus keta (chum salmon)
Lineage: Eukaryota; Metazoa; Chordata; Actinopteri; Salmoniformes; Salmonidae
Exons: 3
Source: RefSeq, a predicted model, not a curated record